This 407-nucleotide ribosomal RNA is filed under the name uncultured prokaryote. RNAcentral's name for it is "bacterial SSU rRNA". It matches the Rfam family "Bacterial small subunit ribosomal RNA", at positions 355 to 776 of the family's 1533-position model. RNAcentral also lists the same sequence under 1 other name. The record is from RNAcentral.
UGGGGAAUAUUGCACAAUGGGCGAAAGCCUGAUGCAGCAACGCCGCGUGAGGGAAGACGGUUUUCGGAUUGUAAACCUCUGUCCUUGGUGAAGAAAGAAAUGACGGUAGCCGAGGAGGAAGCCACGGCUAACUACGUGCCAGCAGCCGCGGGAAUACGUAUGUGGCGAGCGUUGUCCGGAAUUACUGGGUGUAAAGGGAGCGUAGGCGGGUCGGCAAGUCAGUGGUGAAAUACAUGGGCUUAACCCAUGAAUUGCCAUUGAAACUGCCGGUCUUGAGUGGAUCAGAGGCAAGCGGAAUUCCGAGUGUAGCGGUGAAAUGCGUAGAUAUUCGGAGGAACACCAGUGGCGAAGGCGGCUUGCUGGGGUCUAACUGACGCUGAGGCUCGAAAGUGUGGGGAGCAAACAGG